Molecule: long non-coding RNA, 1027 nt
Filed under: Marmota monax (woodchuck)
Lineage: Eukaryota; Metazoa; Chordata; Mammalia; Rodentia; Sciuridae
Source: RNAcentral
AGUGUUUUUUCUGUGUACUUUUGUUUCAGUAUAUAUAUAGACAUGAUAAACAUGUUUGAGGCCUUAUGGAUGUGGUAGAAGCAGCUUGGAUUAAUUAAGACUCCAUGGAGUCUUAAUUGAAAAGUCAACAGUCCAUCAAUUCAGAACUGCCUUCUGGACUAGGAAAAUGAAAUAGAUGGUAAAACAUUCAUUGACAUAAUGAUUGACCUACUUUUGAUCCUGCUCCAAAUUCUCAUAUAGUUCUAUGUAAACUAUGUCAGUUUCACUGAUUUGGUGAAAAGCAACUAUAUUAGAUCUAUAUCUCAUGCAUGUUCUUAAAUUAGAAUGUAUUAUGGAGUUUCCAAUUAAUUUAAAAAUGGAGUUAAGCCAGUUGUUAAAUAUGUUGUGUGUCAAAACACCUGGGAGCUAACAUUAGUACCACCCUAAACAUUUUUUAUUUUGAAAACUGGGAAAUGCAUUCCAAGAAUUUGUUUUUUAAAAAGUUCCCCAAGCUGAUUUUGAUGAAGCCAAUUAUCAGUUGGUGGUGAAUUUGGCAACUUUGGGCCUAGUUUUAAGAUAUUCAUCUUAAAAAUUCAUGGCAUCAUGCAAUCUUGAACUUUCUGUAUUUAGUCUACUCUUUAAAAGAAGGAGAUGGCUAUAUAUAUCUCAUGUAUAGUCACCAAUGUGUAAGACCUUCAGAUUCUUGAGCAUAGUACAAUGAUAAUUGUUUUCAAGAGAAAAAUCUGUAUGUGCUACCCUUAUUCUGUGGUGAUUUUUUUUAAAUACACAGUAAUGAUGCAUAGAAGUUAAUUCAUAGUGUACAAUAAAAACUAAUUUAUGUGGGCAUUACAUAUAAAACAUUUUGAGAAAAUAAAACUGAGUUAAUAAAAUGGCCCAAUUAAGUCUUAGGUUAAUUAGUUAAAUAAUAUUUUAAAAGUGCUUGAAGAGAACUUAAAAGCUCUGUUGGAACAAAUAAAAGAGUUGCUUUAGCAAGCUUUAGUUUAUAAUAAGUCGCUUUAAGUGCCAUUCAUGUAUAACUAGUUGCCAC